RNAcentral lists this ribosomal RNA (387 nucleotides) under uncultured eukaryote. RNAcentral describes it as "SSU rRNA". It matches the Rfam family "Eukaryotic small subunit ribosomal RNA", at positions 587 to 972 of the family's 1831-position model. The record is from RNAcentral.
AGCUCCAAUAGCGUAUAUUAAUGUUGUUGCAGUUAAAAAGCUCGUAGUUGAAUUUCUGAGUUUAACGUUCAGUCCUUGGCUUUAUUGCCUUGUGUAUUGUUUUAGUUAAGCUCAUCUUAGUAGUGAUUGUACUCGUCAUUAGUUUGUCGGAUGCAGGAGCUGCUUCGCUUACCGUGAGAAAAAUAGAGUGUUCAAAGCAGGCAUAAUCGCCUUGAAUACUUCAGCAUGGAAUAAGAAAAUAGGACGUAGGUGCUAUUUUAUUGGUUUGCACACCACGUAAUGAUUAAUAGGGAUAGUUGGGGGUAUUCAUAUUUGAUUGUCAGAGGUGAAAUUCUUGGAUUUAUGAAAGAUGAACUUAUGCGAAAGCAUUUAUCAAGGAUGUUUUCA